Molecule: long non-coding RNA, 1662 nt
Organism: Apis florea (little honeybee)
Lineage: Eukaryota; Metazoa; Arthropoda; Insecta; Hymenoptera; Apidae
Source: RefSeq, a predicted model, not a curated record
UUUUUUUUUUCUCCUUCGCGAGGAAAUACGUCGUCGUUCGAAUUUGUUUCGACCUCCGGGGAGGUCGAGUGUGUGUAAUAGAUUCGAAGAUCGUGCAAAUAAGAAGAAGAAAAGAAUGGAAGAAUUGGAAAUGACCUUUUGUUUUCGAGGAGGAAGCGCGAUUUCUGUCCAGUUCCGAGCACGUAACGAAAUUUCUUCGAGGUCCUCUAAAUGGUUCGCGAAGAAACGGAAACGGAAGACGAAAACGAACGGCUGUUGACGUUGCGCGCAGAGAGAAAGAGAGAGAGAGAGAGAGAAAGGGAGAGAGAAAGAAAGAGAGAAAGAGAGAACACACCUGUUCGAGGCAAAACGCAACUUUAUUCUGUAAGCAGGAUGUAUUCGGUGCGAUUUCCGUGGAUCGACGUGGUGAAGAAUCCAUCGAGGUAUGAGAAGCAGAAAACAUUAAUAAUUACGUAGAUCUUUGAUGUUUUUCUUUUUUUUUUCUCUCUCUUCGUUUCUUUUUUUUUUUUAUUUUUCCUUUUUUCAAUUUACAAUAUGUAAUUAGAAUAUUCUUGUUUUAUACUCUUAGUAGUUAUUAACACUUUUUUUACAGAGAGUGGAUAAUGUUAUGGAGAACGAGGUUUCCAUAAUACAUUCGCGUUGAAUUGCAAAUCUUAAUUCUCAUUUCAAAUUUUAGCGAUGUUUAAAUAAUCGUAAAUCAUUAUGUGUUUUGCUGUUUGAUCGGGCUGUCGAGGUGUUGCAUCGAUAUUAUUCGCUUGUUUCCUCGCUCGUACCUAAUUUGAAAAAAAAAAAAAAGAAGAGAAAAAAAAAAGGGUGAGACUGAAUUGCAAAUAUUGCACAAUUCUCACGCAGCGAUUGUGCAAUCCGAGAACAGGUUUGCAAACUCGACGAACAAAUUACAAUAUCGCGUCUUUGAAUAUUCAACGCAACAAAUUACUUAGAAGUUAAAUGAAUUGAUUCCUAAAAAAAAAGAAAAAAAUGUAUAAUUACCAGGAAUCGACAAAAAAAAAAAAAAAAAAAGAAGAAAGAAUGCGUACUUUACUUUGCGAAGAAAUUCAUCAGAUUCCCAGGAACGAACAACCGUUGCUAAUGAAAAAAAAAAAAUCUUUCAUCGAAUGAUUAAUUACGAUGCAACAAAGUUCUCUAAAUUAUUGAAUCGUUAAAAAUUGAUUUUCUUUUUCUUUACUGUUUACAAUUUACUGUUUACAAUCUGGAAAAAAUUUUCUGGAAAGCAGAACAAAGUCACAACGAUAUUUCAUCUUUCCUCUAUUCUCGCGAUUGGUACGAAAACCAUUCUUGUCGUUGUAUCGAGUUGUGGAAACAUUCUGCGCAGGAUAAGCGCGAUGCGCUUUUUCACCGCGCAUCCUGACAACGAUAAUAUUUCUUUCCACGGUUUUCGGGGAAGAUAAAAAGAAAGAAAGAAAGAAAGAAAGAAGAAAGAAAGAAAAAAAGAAAGAAAAUUCGCGCGGAUAUUAAGAUUCCUGCGUGUAUUCGACGAAGAAAAAAAAAGAUAAUUACUUAAUUAUUAGGGUUAUUAGGGGAGAGAAUAAGAAGUGAGAACAAGGGCGUCGCAUGUACAAUAAUAAUUAUUUAGAUAUCUAUUAUAUACGUAUAUGUAUAUAUAUAAUAGUAUAUAUAUGCAUAUAUAUAUAUAUAUAUAUA